RNAcentral lists this unclassified non-coding RNA (377 nucleotides) under uncultured Pseudomonadota bacterium. RNAcentral describes it as "uncultured proteobacterium contains 16S-23S intergenic spacer region". The record is from RNAcentral. Lineage: Bacteria; Pseudomonadati; Pseudomonadota.
UCCGGCUUAACGCCGGCAGUCUCCCUAGAGUGCCCAACUCAAUGGUGGCAACUAAGGACGAGGGUUGCGCUCGUUGCGGGACUUAACCCAACACCUCACGGCACGAGCUGGCGACAGCCAUGCAGCACCUGAACCAGCGGUCCCCGAAGGGAAAAUCCUGUUUCUAGGACGGUCCGCUGUUGUCUAGUCCAGGUAAGGUUCUUCGCGUUGCAUCGAAUUAAGCCACGCGCUCCGCCGCUUGUGCGGGCCCCCGUCAAUUCCUUUGAGUUUUAGCCUUGCGGCCGUACUCCCCAGGCGGAUGACUUAAUGCGUUAGCUGCGCCACCGAAAGCCUAAGGCCCCCGACAGCUAGUCAUCAUCGUUUACGGCGUGGACUAC